AAAGUAAUUGCAGCUGGUUAACAUUAAAGCCAGAACUAGAACCCAGAGCUUCUGGUUCCAACCUUGGCCAGAGUCUUUGUGUUGUUUUUAUUUCCCUUAGCCUCACUGUCUAGAACAGUGUAUGGGAAGUAAAAUAAAAUUGAUUUUUUAAAAAUGCAUUAUUUUUAAUUGUUUUAUUAUUUUAGAGACAGAGUCUUGCUAUGUUGCCAAGGCUGGAGUGAAGUCUCAUAAUCAUGGUUCACUGUGAACUCGAUCUCCACAGCUCAAGGGAUCCUCCUGCUUCAGCAUCCCAACUAGCCAGGAAUGCAGAUCAGCCAUAUUCUAACAAUACAUUUCAAAGUACUGCUGACGGAGGCUCCACCUGAAACCUGUUCUCUCAGAUAAGUAUCUUCAUCCCAUUCAUCGUUUCAAGAAAAAUAAAUAAAUAAAUCUUACAGCACGGCAGCAUUUUCAUCUGCUUUGGUUUCAGCCAGAGAUAAACUGUUCCUGCUGCAAAGUAAUUAAUAUCAGUCGCCUGGAAAGCAGAAAUUGGGAGACAACAGGCUCCUCUUUCUUGAUAAACAGAUUGUUGGGUAAGGUAUGCACAUGGAUGUGACAAUUCAUUUGGCCAUAGAAAUAGCAGAAAUGAGACGUUUUUAGACAGAUAUUUGGAAGGCAUGAGCAAAUAUCCCCAGGCUUCAUCCAUUUGAGCUCAGAUGAGUCUUUUGCGCUAGGUUUUGAGCUUCUCUAAGUCCCUAGGAUCAGCAGAAAUCUCUAGACCCCCCAGGGGUGUACCCUUAAAACAAUACGCAGAAUCAGUACGAUCAUGGCCAACUCCUGGGAAAGCUGGCUCUAUGCCCGAGUCCUUUGCAGCCCCCGCCUUCCUGACCCAACUUCCCAUGUGACUAAGGAAUCAAAAACUUGGCCUAGUUGAUAUAUAAUCCAGGCAAUCAGAAAUUAGAACCGUGCGGCUAGGAAAGAUGAGCAAAAGAUGCUUAGAAACAAGACAAGCAGAAAACAACCUCCCCAGAGCUAUCCUGUGUGGGGAAACCUCCAAAAGCUAGGGAAAGACAGCGUAUGUUUUGUAUGGUCCAGGAGGAGCAAGCUCAUCAUGGCUGCCUGCAAAUGAAGAAAUCAUGUUUCUGUCAUAGCAAAAUGGUUAUGUUUUGGAGUGUUCUGUGAAUGAGACAUGAGAGGGGAAACGCCACCACACAAGUAUUCCUUACAUUCAGUUCUUCAGAGAAGGCUUCAGGGAUCAUUUUCCCAUCUCAAAAAGCAUAAAUUGCCAUUUUAUAGGAGCUUGAGAAGAAUAUUCUAGAAGUGAUUCAGAGCCAGGACAUUUGGGGAUUUGUUUAGGUAAACAUGAAAAUUCUAUCCAUCUUUAUUCAUCCAUCCCAGCAGUCAGCCAGCAUCCUUACAAACUCAAAGGGCAAAGUAAAGGUAAAGAAAUAAUUUAGAAUAUACUAUUAUCAGUGCUGUGAUAGGUUAAUGUGCAGGAGAGACAAUAAAGGAGUGAGUUCUACAAGUCUGGGGACAGGGAGUGAGGAGAGAUGGGUCAGGAAAGUUUUUAUUGAGCAAACACUUGGACUAAGUAAUUGAACAAUGUAAGUGUUUAUAAGCGGGUAGAUUAGCAAAAACUUGGAUACUCUCAACUCCAGGAGAGAUCCAGGAAAAGAGAGAGUUGUACUAUUUCUGCUCGUCCCAUUGCCUAAUUCUACAUGUCAGGGGCCAGCUCAGGCCAUAUAGAUCCCUUAGAGCCUUCACUGAACUUCCUCCCUCCUUAGUAAAUUUUUUUUUCCCACAGAUCUUGAGACAUUUAUUAGUUAUACACUAAUUACCUUAUGUACAUCCACCAGACUGCAAAUUGCUUGAGGACAGGGUCUCUUAUUAAUUCAUUUCUACCACAUUGGUGACUAAAACAAUGUCUGGGAUACAGUAGGUGAGCUUUUUAAAGUUUGUUGAAUACUAUCUAUGUCUCCACAAUUGAUUAGAAGUUUCUUGAAGGCAGGAAGAACAUUAUUUAUCCUUUCUAUGCCUGGCACAGGGCUCAAAGUGAAUGUUCAAUAAACGUUUAAUGAACAAGGAGCCCACUGAAAUUUCCACAUGAUAGUGAAAUUGAUGGCACACUCACUAUUUGUCCUUUCUCUGAGCACCUAGUGUCACUUCU
This 2146-nucleotide long non-coding RNA is filed under the name Homo sapiens (human). RNAcentral describes it as "HSALNT0070137". Lineage: Eukaryota; Metazoa; Chordata; Mammalia; Primates; Hominidae. The record is from RNAcentral.